Molecule: small RNA, 388 nt
Filed under: bacterium
Lineage: Bacteria
Also listed under: 1 other name
Description: transfer-messenger RNA
Rfam family: transfer-messenger RNA
About the family: Bacterial tmRNA, also known as 10Sa RNA or SsrA, is named for its dual tRNA and mRNA-like properties. Its role is to liberate the mRNA from a stalled ribosome.
Source: RNAcentral
GGGCAUGUUAGGCUUCGAUGAGAUGUUGUUUUUACAAUCAGCAUGUCGUGUGGCGAAUCACCACUCGUUAAUCACUUGAUUCAUCAUGUUACGUGCAAACAUUCUACAGCGCGUGAAGACAGCUUUUGCUCCUUCUUUCGCGCCUGCUUUCGCCUAAAUAGCGAUAGCCAUCGGAUUUUAUCUGCCGUCGGGUAGAAUUUCGGUGUCAAUUCAGACGGCUUUAGUUAGUUUGUCCGGAAUUCAGACUAACCGAAUUGCACAAUAUUCCACGCAUAUUGCGGGCUUUGUCAGUCUGUUGCCGAGAUAUGCGUAAUUUAGACUGGCUAAACAUGUAGAAGAUUGUAGGGAUGCGUUUCACACGCGAGUUCGAUUCUCGCCAUGUCCACCC